Eriocheir sinensis (Chinese mitten crab) is the source of this 820-nucleotide long non-coding RNA. RefSeq lists it as uncharacterized. The record is from RefSeq and is a predicted model, not a curated record. The transcript has 5 exons. Lineage: Eukaryota; Metazoa; Arthropoda; Malacostraca; Decapoda; Varunidae.
CUCAGGCACCCCAGCGGGGGAAGGGGAUCUCUUUUAACCCUUUCCUUGCUAAGCGCUUGCAACAAGACUAUCUCCCUCAGGUGCGCUCGGGCACCCCAGUGGGGGAAGGGGAUCUCUUUUAACCCUUUCCUUGCUAAGCGCUUGCAACAAGACUAUCUCCCUCAGGUGCGCUCGGGCACCCCAGUGGGGGAAGGGGAUCUCUUUUAACCCUUUCCUUGCUAAGCGCUUGCAACAAGACUAUCUCCCUCAGGUGCGCUCGGGCACCCCAGUGGGGGAAGGGGAUCUCAUUUAACCCUUUCCUUGCUAAGCGCUUGCAACAAGACUAUCUCCCUCAGGUGCGCUCGGGCACCCCAGCGGGGGAAGGGGAUCUCUUUUAACCCUUUCCUUGCUAAGCGCUUGCAACAAGACUAUCUCCCUCAGGUGCGCUCGGGCACCCCAGUGGGGGAAGGGGAUCUCUUUUAACCCUUUCCUUGCUAAGCGCUUGCAACAAGACUAUCUCCCUCAGGUGCGCUCGGGCACCCCAGUGGGGGAAGGGGAUCUCUUUUAACCCUUUCCUUGCUAAGCGCUUGCAACAAGACUAUCUCCCUCAGGUGCGCUCGGGCACCCCAGCGGGGGAAGGGGAUCUCUUUUAACCCUUUCCUUGCUAAGCGCUUGCAACAAGACUAUCUCCCUCAGGUGCGCUCGGGCACCCCAGGGGGGGAAGGGGAUCUCUUUUAACCCUUUCCUUGCUAAGCGCUUGCAACAAGACUAUCUCCCUCAGGUGCGCUCGGGCACCCCAGCGGGGGAAGGGGAUCUCUUUUAACCCUUUCCUUGCUAAGCG